RNAcentral lists this unclassified non-coding RNA (777 nucleotides) under Zea mays. Its description in RNAcentral is "misc RNA Zm00001eb236710". The record is from RNAcentral. Lineage: Eukaryota; Viridiplantae; Streptophyta; Magnoliopsida; Poales; Poaceae.
UGGCCACCGUCGCACAUGGCCAUGCCAAGCUGGCCGUCCCUGCUCCAUCCGAUAGCGCUGCUCUCUGCAUCUCCCAUGGUCGAGCUCACCGCGUCCCUGUGUUUGAGUCCGUCGACCUCCAGCUCGCCAGCCGCGCCCUCCCUGCUCGCCCAGCCCCUCUGCUCACUGGUUUCUCCCCACGCCAGCAGCAGCAAGCAGCCAUGGCACCUCCUUCCCCUGCUCGCCCUCCCUCUGUGCCCAGCCUCCUCUCUGUUCUUCCGUGGAGCAAUAGCCCUCCUCUAAUUCUGCAGCAGCAGCUCUCCCUUUUUUCAUUUGUUCUCCAUGAAUGAAAGCCCAAGCGCCAGCCCCCCUCCCUUUCGUCAAGUGAUUGGAAGAGAGUUCUAGGGAAAUCGAUGGAGACGAAACCGUGUUUCAGUUCGACGCGGUCUAGGUGUUUGAUGGAAUGGAUGAACCGGAGAUCCUUGUUGCUCUUGCGAAAUCCGAGUCUAUUUAGUGUUGGUACGUUAAUUGAUCACGUGAUGUGAAAGGCAAGGUUUGGAUUGAUCUCAAGAUAAUGCUGAUGGACGAAGCUAAAGUGGGUGAAUCAAACAAAUGCCAGGAUGAGAGAUGCUCACCAAGUGGUCUUCAUCUAACAACACUAACUUAGUGUUAUCCCAGGUUAUAAGUUUGUUCUGUUGUGGAUGGUGCUAAGUGCCGGUGGGCUCGGCCUCCUUAUAUAAGUAUAUCCCAUCUUUAGCUUCUUUAUUGAGGGUUGUCACUUAAGCUAGCAUGUAUUUU